This 2382-nucleotide long non-coding RNA is filed under the name Sus scrofa (pig). RNAcentral's name for it is "lncRNA (ENSSSCG00055007707.1)". Lineage: Eukaryota; Metazoa; Chordata; Mammalia; Artiodactyla; Suidae. The record is from RNAcentral.
GUGGGUGGGGCUCGCGAUUUGAGUCGGGACUAGCGGAUUCGCCGGAGGCUCUGGUCUCCCAGCAAGAGGACAAAUGUGCCGGGAUGUAUGCAGGCAAGCCAGAAGAGGAGAGUCCAGGACCAGUAAAUCAGGUCAGUAAAUGCACUAUUCUGUCAGGGGCCAAGUUACCACUGAAGAGGUAAGACAAGUGAUGGUUGAGGAUCAUAAAUGUGAUUCAAGGACAGCAGAAAUUACCAAGAAGAAAGGGAAAUGUCUGUCAGAUGUGGCACCAAUCUCUUAGUUUCCCCUUAGUAAUACUCCACUGAGAGUAGUUAGAGAAGCUAGUGGGCCAUUGAGAUGGCAGGGUGCCAGCAGCAUUUGGACCCACAGCUUCUGCAACAUUCAAUGCCAGGGCCUGCAGCUGUGGUGGGUGCAGCAGCCUCAGAGGAUGUGAAGUAGACCUCCCCAGAAGUAUCUAUCCUUUUCAGAGAACACCAGCAGAUUAACAGUCACUUUGGACAUUGGAAGCUGCAGCAAACACCUCAAUAUAAUAAGUUGACACAGGAGCAAAGGGAAUGAAUGGUCCAACCCAUGGAGCAGUCAGGGAAGCUGGUCAGGGAAAAGGCAGGGGAGACACCCCUAAGGGGUCCCCAGGCUAUAUGUGAGGAAUUAAAGGGGUCUGGACUUCCCGUACUGUUGUUAGAAACUAAGGAAAAAAUACUACUAAUAAGAUAAAUGUCUGUGGUUGUCUUACAUCUUAGCUGGGUAUGUAGGAAUUUAGGUUAUAUGAAAAUUAUUUAGAAUUAAGCUUUCUUUCUUUCUUUCUUUUUUUCUUUUUCUUUCCUUUUUCUCCUGGUCACCCAUGGCAUAUAGAGUUCCCAGGUCAAGGGUAGGAUCUGACCUAUGCCACAGCUGCGGCAAUGCCAGAUCCUUUAACUCACUUGCCAGGCUGGGGAUUGAACCAUCCUAUUGUGCCACAGCAGGAACUCUAGAAGUAAGUUUUCUUAAGGAGUCACAAAACUUUUCUUUUUUGUUUUUUAGGGCUGCACCUGUGGCAUAUAGAGGUUCCCGGGCUAGGGGUUGAAUCAGAUCUGCAGCUGUUGGCCUACACCACAGCUGUAGCAAUGUGGAAUCAGAGCCACAUCUGUGACCUACGCCAUAGCUCAAGGCAACAUUGGAUCCUUAACCCACUGAGCGAGGCCAGGGAUUGAAUCUGCAUCCUCAUGGAUACUAGUAAGAUUCAUUUCUGCUGAGCCAUGAUGGGAAUUCCAACACAGGAUUAUUCCAACUCCCUCUCUUUCCCUCAGGGUUUGCUGACUUUACCUAUAAUGUCUUCUCAUGUUGCCUCACCCUAAAAGAAUUAGGACUAUCUAAGGCAGCAUUUAACUGGAAACCCAACUAAGGUUUGUGAGGCUGAACAAAUAAAGUUUUAUUUAAAUUUUUUUUUAAUUUUGAUUUUUCUUUUUUCUUUAAAUUUUGUUCUGAGGUAUUUAUUUUUGAAUAUGCAAAAAUUUUAUUUAUUUAAAUAAUUUUUAUUUUUUCCAUUAUAGUUGGUUUACAGUGCUGAGUAAUCACUUUUCUACUGUACAGCAAAGUGACCCAGUCACACAUGCAUAUAUACAUUCAUUUUCUCACAUUACCCUCCAUUAUUCUCCAUCACAAGUGACUAGAUAUAGUUCCCAGUGCUACACAGCAGGAUCUCAUAGCUAAUCCAUUCUGAAUGCAAUACUUUAUAUCUAUUAACCCCAGAUUCCCAGUCCAUCCCACUCCCACCCCCUUCCCCUUGGUAAUCACAAGUCUGUUCUCCAAGUCCAUGAGUUUCUUUUCUGUGGAAAGGUUAUUUGUGCCAUAUAUUAGAUUCCAGAUGUGUGAUAUCAUAUGGUAUUUGUCUUUCUCUUUCUGACUUCACUUAGUAUGAGAGUCUAUAGUUGUAUCCAUGUUGCUGCAAAUGGCAUUAUUUUGUUCUUUUUUAUGGCUGUGAGGUAUUCCAUUGUGUAUAUAUACCAUAUCUUCUUAAUCAAUUCAUCUUGUCAGUGGACAUUGAGGUUGUUUCCAUGUCUUGGCUAUUAUGAAUGGUGCUGCAAUGAACAUAUGGGUGCAUGUGUCUAUUUCAAGGAAAGUUUUGUCUGGAUAUAUGCCCAUUAUAGUUGAUUUGCCAUAAUCCAUCAAUUUCUACUGUACAGCAAAGGUUUAUUUCUUACUUAACAGUAAAUCUGGAAUUGUCAUUCUUCUGACCUGGUUUCAAGAGCUCAGUGAAGAGAAACACAAUUGUAGAAAUCAAGUCUGUUUUUGAGACAGGAAGAAGGUAGAAAUGAGAAGGUGGGCCAAGGACUCAGCAGGAGGAUUUUAUGUUAUAUCAAGAAACAAAAGCUCCAGAAGGCUUCCAGUUAUGUUUCCUUGGCC